CCGGUUCACUGUAUUGCAUCGUUAAAGACAUUAUCAUUUAAAUGAAGCGUUAAAUGAACUCUUUCAGUGUUUCCUGUUCCUUGUACCCUGUUAGCAUGAGAUGCUAGCAGUGUUAGCAUUGUUACACUUUAGUUCCUUCGGUUUCAUUACUUAUUAGCCAUGUUAGCAUUUUGGAUUCUAAUGUUAAAUGAACUCAUAUAGCACAGAUUUUUUUUUUUCUUCACCGUUCAUUUGUGUCCGGUAGGCAUGAUGCUAAUGCGUUCUCCCUAGCUAAUCAGUCCUGCUUAGCUUCAUAUGCGGUUUAUCAUUUUACAUUUUAAAUGAAAAUUUACAUUUAGUCUUCAAUUCGUUUUUAAACAGUUGUAGCUAGACUAACACUUACAGUGUCCGAUUAGCAUGAUGCUAAUGUGUUUGUGCUAACUGAUCAUAUCUAUUUAGUUCCAUUCGUUAUUUGCUGUGUUAGCAUUUUUUAUUAAAAGGUUAAAUGAACUAUUAUGGUGCUGAAUUAACAGCUAAAGCUGAACUCUAUUUCUGCAAUUAUUCAGUGUUUAUUUGUAUCCAGUUAGCAGGAUGCUAAUGUGCUCGUGCUAGCUAAUCAUUCCUAUUUAGACGCUAUUCAGUGUUUACUAUGCUAGCAUUUCCCACAGAAUCUAUAAGUAACUCAUUUGUAGUAACAUUUACAGUGUUGUAUUAUCUGUUAGCGAUCGUGCAUGUCCAAUUAGCUUGAUGCUAACGUGAUCCUUUUCAGUUCUUUUUAUUAGUUAGCAUUCUGAAAUGAAUGCCACACUCUUACAGUGUGGAAUGAACAUUGUACCAUAUCCAGUUAGCAUCAGGCUAAUCCGACCACUCUAGGUUUGUUUCUUAUUUUUUCUUCUCGUUCACAUUGUUUUUGGAUGAAGUAUUGCCUGAAGGUCAAGCUUAGCCAGCACAUAAUUACAGGGGAGGAUUCAGACAGCACACGCAUCGCCAGCCACCAGACUCCAUGUCGGCCAUCAUGCUCGGUUUGCCAUCGGGUCAGCCGUCGGUCACACACUCAUCCCGAGGUCAGAACCAGAGACUCUUAGGCUGCUCCUAGAAAAACUCUGGAAGGAAUUAAACAAACAGCUCGGGGUAAAAGAUAAACAUUUAAACACAGACACGGGUUUGUUACAUUAGUGCUAAUUUCCAUUUAAUGCUACUAGAUUUACUUUUUCUAGUAAGCAGCAUGUUUAUUUAGUUGAAUUAAUUAUUAUAGGAAUAAGAGCUUUAUGCUAAGUCUUUAUGCUAAGUAUUUAUGCUUCUAUAGUUUAGUAAUCACUUCUGAAAAGAUUGGAAUCUGGUGUAACAAAAGAUUAAGCUAAACAUUUGUGCACUUGUAAUGUCCAUACAGUUCAUUUAGCAUUGUGCAAAGCUGACUUAAUAUGCAACAAGGGCGAAAAAUAGCUUAGCUUCUCUCUGCUAAUUGCAAUUUUUCCAAACUUUACCAGUCCAGGUUGAGUGAACGGUUCGAUUUAGUAAAAGAAGUCAUUUUGAUGGUUUUACACAUAAACCCUUAAACUCUUAACAGCUCAAGCAAAAAAAAAUAAAUAAAAGAGAACCGUAGAGCUAAUUAGCAUUUAAACGAAGAAUUGCAAAGUUUUUUCCUCUUGUGUGAUAUCAUUCUUUUUCAGGAAAAUCAUACAGAUCCGUAAACUGCGUGAACUCACGCUCAGAACGAGAUCGGAAAAGAUUUAUUUUCCACUGCGG
This is a long non-coding RNA of Ictalurus punctatus (channel catfish), 1725 nucleotides long. The record is from Ensembl. Lineage: Eukaryota; Metazoa; Chordata; Actinopteri; Siluriformes; Ictaluridae.